Triticum aestivum (bread wheat) is the source of this 796-nucleotide long non-coding RNA. RefSeq lists it as uncharacterized. Lineage: Eukaryota; Viridiplantae; Streptophyta; Magnoliopsida; Poales; Poaceae. The record is from RefSeq and is a predicted model, not a curated record. The transcript has 3 exons.
UUAUGACAUGCUUCACAAUUUUUUUGUCUUUCCUUGUGGAUCGUCCAUUUGAACAAUAUAUAUCAAUGUAAAUAACCUUACAUUUCCUUCUAUUUCAAUCGAUUUAAGGUACUCAUGUAUAAUGAUUACUAAUGACCAGCUGCAGCCACCGCCUAAUCUAACAUUGUUGUAGUCAUGGCUUUUGGCAUCUGUGUAUUCCAUUUAGUUACCUUUGCCUAAUGCGUCCUGAUGAGAGGCAUUCUUGUUGCCCUGUACACAGCUUUGCGUUGUAUGAUUGUUACUAUUUCUCCCUGCAUUCUCUCCUUUGCAUUGUCUGACUAUUACAUGAUUAAUAGAUGAACAAUCCUAUAUCCGCAAUGAAAGGCAAGGGACAAGCUCCUGUGACUAAAUACCUAGAUAUGGUUUUGUUCUGAUUGUAUAUGUGAUGAUUUUAUCCAUGUGUAUGUAUGUGGUCUUCAAAGUUGUUGAAAGAUUGAAAGCGUAAGCAAGUUCGCCAAAUUCCUUCGGUACUUUCAAAGAAAUCAAUGUCCCAUCUGUCUAUGGAAAACUCUAAGAAGGCUCGAUUGGCACAUGAAGCUCUUAAAUACUUGAGAGCCUUUUACAACAAGGUCCUAUAAGACUACAUACAUAUAUUACACCGGUUGUCCCAGCUCAUAGUUGGUUGUCAUCAGUCCGGUUGGUUGAACAAGGUCCUAUAAGACUACAUACAUAUAUUGCUACAGAUAUGGUGUUGCCAUUUUAUUGCUACAGAUAUGGUUGUUCUGAUUGUAUACAUACAUAUAAUUCUGCAGUUUGU